CUUUCUUUGCUGGCGACCGGCGCACGGGUGAGUAACACGUAUCCAACCUGCCCUUUACUCGGGGAUAGCCCUUCGAAAGAAAGAUUAAUACCCGAUAGCAUAAUGAUUCCGCAUGGUUUCAUUAUUAAAGGAUUCCGGUAAAGGAUGGGGAUGCGUUCCAUUAGGUUGUUGGUGAGGUAACGGCUCACCAAGCCUUCGAUGGAUAGGGGUUCUGAGAGGAAGGUCCCCCACAUUGGAACUGAGACACGGUCCAA
Molecule: ribosomal RNA, 254 nt
Filed under: uncultured bacterium
Lineage: Bacteria
Description: partial 16S ribosomal RNA
Rfam family: Bacterial small subunit ribosomal RNA
Source: RNAcentral